CCCGUGGGCACUCCAGCCGCCGCAGCCGCCACCGCCAUCCGCGGGCCCCACUCCCGGGACGCUUCCUGCGCGGCGCCCCGAGCACCAUGGCUCGCCGGGCCGCCCUCGCGCUGCUGCUGGUCGGCCUGCUCAGCACCCUGGUGCCCGCCCGCGGUCAAGAUUUCGAUUUGUCAGAUGCCCUUGGUGACAACGACAAGAAGCCCACGGCACCGCCCAAGAGACCCAGCGCUGACGAUGAUGGGUUCAGUCUAGAAGAUGCCCUCGGCGGGGGAGGAAACAGUAAGUACCUUUGGGAAGUCUGCUGGCUGGCUGACUUGCUACGAUCUCCAAAUUAUCAUCGUUCCCAAGAGUCUUGUCCCUCUGAAGUCAGAACGAGCUGUUACCACAAACACGUAGGGAAUGGUGUGUUGUCGUUGACCCUUGUUGGGUUUCUCAUUGUCACCUGUCUGCUUUUGCUUUUAUUUUUAAAAACGGGCUUGCAGCCUUUGGAAUGGCAUAAGGUCAAUGUGAACACCCUUGCCUGGGCCAGUAACCCGCACUCACGCACUCACCAGGAGCCCCAGCCUGGCUGGGAUGGUUUGAUGCCGCCAUAUUGA
This 596-nucleotide long non-coding RNA is filed under the name Ursus americanus (American black bear). RNAcentral describes it as "lncRNA (ENSUAMG00000017210.1)". The record is from RNAcentral. Lineage: Eukaryota; Metazoa; Chordata; Mammalia; Carnivora; Ursidae.